AAAGAAGCGAAAUUGUACCCAAAAGUAGUCUGGAGACGCAUACUUACAAACAUUAGUGCUUUAGACUUGACACGCCAUUUCAAAACGCGGCUAACUUCACGAGACGCCGAGCCGCAACAGCGACGCCAAACAGGGAUACGUGAGACGUUUUGGCAAGGCUGGACGACUCGAAGAAGCGCAAGGCUGCUGCGCGGAAGGGGACGCUCGCCGAGCUCCUGCCACGGUCACUUGAGCCAGGGCGACAGCCAAGGAACUUGUCAAAGCAG
Puntigrus tetrazona (Sumatra barb) is the source of this 266-nucleotide long non-coding RNA. RefSeq lists it as uncharacterized. The transcript has 3 exons. The record is from RefSeq and is a predicted model, not a curated record. Lineage: Eukaryota; Metazoa; Chordata; Actinopteri; Cypriniformes; Cyprinidae.